Dipodomys spectabilis (banner-tailed kangaroo rat) is the source of this 2095-nucleotide long non-coding RNA. RefSeq lists it as uncharacterized. The transcript has 2 exons. The record is from RefSeq and is a predicted model, not a curated record. Lineage: Eukaryota; Metazoa; Chordata; Mammalia; Rodentia; Heteromyidae.
CCCCACGGCGCCCGGGAGCGGCGGGGCCCGGGGGCAGCGGCCGGCGCCCCGGCCCUGAACCACCUGGAGCGCCUUCCGGCCGGCCCCAACGGCGUCCCGAAGCACUCGUACUGGCUGGACCUGUGGCUCUUCAUCCUCCUGGACGUGAUGCUGUUCGUGUUCUUCUAUCUCUUGCCCUGACUGGCUUGCUGUUAUAUCAAGAUGUCUCAAGAAGUCAAGCAAAUUCUGGAAACGACAAACUUCUUGCAUGAAGAAGGAUUUCAUGGCAGCAGAAUUUCACACUCUGAAGGAACUUGUAUGCAUUUUGUUCACUCAUCUGGAAAACUCUCAAAUGAGUAAUAAUAACAGGACUCUUUUUCACAGCUACAUUUUUAAAAUUAGACCCAUUGGUUCAUGUUUAAAAACUCUUCAAGUAUCUGAUGACUUUCCAAGGCACCAUAUUAAAAAAAAAAUUUGUACUUAGAGGUUUGAUAUAUUCAUUAAAAAAGUAUAGUCUUUCCUUUAACAUUUUAAGGGUUGAUCAGUGUUUUCUCUGUGUAAAUAAUAGUGCAUUGAAAUGAGGCAUUGAAAUAUUCAAAAGUAACUUGUUCGAAAGCAAAUCAAAUAUUUUUGAGAGAGGAAACCAGUAUUGUAGGUUGUCUAGAAAUUUAUAUAUAACCUCUAACUAUCCACCUAUAUAUAAAUAACACAAAAGGUAACUGCAAAUAGAGGCCACCUGUGUUCGCUGUAGUGCUCUCUGACAUUGAGACUCGGGUAAAAAACAAUCUUGGUUGACUGUGAGAUAUAGUCAUUGAGAAAGUAAUAAGAUUUAUAGUAGUGGAAAACUAUGGAACGUAUCCUCAUACCACAGUCCCUUCCUUUAAACCUCCUAAAAUAGCAUUGUAUGUUUCUAACCCAGUUUACCUUUAAAAAUUUUCUGAUCCUUGUGCUUGAACUCAGGGCAUAGGUGCGGUCCCUGAGCUUUUUUUGCUCAAGGGUAGUACUCUACCACUUGAGCCACACCUCUCCUAGUGAUUUUGUUUUGUUUUUUAAGUUUAUUGGAGAUAAGAGUCUCUUUAACUCUCCCAGACUAGAGUCUUUUUAACUUUCCUGCCUGGGGUUGACUUUGAAGCCGAGUCUUCAGAUCUCAGCCUUCUGAGUAACUAGGAUUGUAAGUGUGAAAUCAUCACUGCCUGGCUUUUAUUUGUAUCUUAAGUAUGCUUGUAGUCAAAAUAUUUGCACAAUGCCUUGUGGUGUUUACUCAUUCCACUCAUUCCAUGUCACUUCUAUCCAAUCCCUGCCUUGAUAAAGUUUACUUUCCCACUAGAUAUUUUCUUUUUACAAUUGAAAAAAAAUUUUAACCAGAAAGAAUUCACAUUCCUGGUUAGUCACCAAACAUUUAAUCAGAAGGGCCUCACUCCCAAAGAAGCUUCUAUAAACACUUUGGGAGUUAUUUCUAUUGGCCCUGAAGGUCUUAUACAAUGGCUUUUGUAGUUGAAAUCAUAAAUAUUUGAGAGCUAUUCCUUUACGAUCAAGGCAUAAGAUCCAGUAAACUGUACAUUCCCUACCUUUCCAAAUGGCUCAUGGCUAGAAUCAGGUCUGAAAUUUAUUUUGGAGGAUGUUUUUUCUUUUGUGGCACUGGGAUUUGAACUCAGUCUCAAGCUUGAUAGGUCAGUUCCCACCACUUAACCAGAUACCAAGGUUUUUGCUUUUGCUGGGGGGGCGGGGAGGCUGGUAUCAGACCUUGAUUCUCUUCUACCCAGCUGGCUGGGGCCAUAAACACAUACCACCACCCACGCUUACUUUUGAAAUAAGGUCCCUAAGUGGGCUGUCCUUGAAUCAGGAUUUUCCUGCUUGUAUUUCUUGAGUGGUUAGAAUUACAGGUAUGCAUCUGUACUGUACCUGGCCGUUUUGCAGAAUUAUAAUUGGCUUACUGACUAUAAGCUUAAUAAUGUCUCUAUAGUAUGGUUGCAUUUGUCAAGAGAACCUUUUGUGAAAAUUGUGGCGCAAGAAUCUAGACUCUAAAGCAACUCUAGAGCUGGAGUUAACCAGAUUGUGUGGCCUGUUUUUGCAUUGUUUGCUGGUCAUUUCCUCUAAUAAACUUUGGACUAAUGUA